Molecule: ribosomal RNA, 453 nt
Filed under: uncultured bacterium
Lineage: Bacteria
Description: bacterial SSU rRNA
Rfam family: Bacterial small subunit ribosomal RNA
Source: RNAcentral
UCGAGAAUCUUCCUCAAUGGGCGAAAGCCUGAGGGAGCGACGCCGCGUGCAGGAUGAAGGGCUUCGGCUUGUAAACUGCUUUUAGUUGGGAAGAAGUGCAAACUGACGGUACCAACUGAAUAAGAGGUUGCUAACUCUGUGCCAGCAGCAGCGGUAAUACAGAGACCUCAAGCGUUAUCCGGAUUUACUGGGCGUAAAGCGUCCGCAGGUGGUUCUUCAAGUCAUGGGUCAAAUCCCGGGGCUCAACCCCGGAACUGCUCGUGAUACUGUUGAACUCGAGGUCGGAAGAGGCAAGCGGAAUUACUGGUGUAGCGGUAAAAUGCGUUUAUAUCAGUAAGAACACCAAAGGCGAAGGCAGCUUGCUGGAACGAUCCUGACACUCAUGGACGAAAGCGUGGGGAGCGAAAAGGAUUAGAUACCCCGGUAGUCCCUGAGCGGGCUGGCAAGGCGCAU